GACGAACGCUGGCGGCAGGCUUAACACAUGCAAGUCGAGCGCAUCCUUCGGGGUGAGCGGCAGACGGGUGAGUAACGCGUGGGAAUCUACCCAUCUCUACGGAAUAACUCAGGGAAACUUGUGCUAAUACCGUAUACGCCCUUUGGGGGAAAGAUUUAUCGGAGAUGGAUGAGCCCGCGUUGGAUUAGCUAGUUGGUGGGGUAAAGGCCUACCAAGGCGACGAUCCAUAGCUGGUCUGAGAGGAUGAUCAGCCACAUUGGGACUGAGACACGGCCCAAACUCCUACGGGAGGCAGCAGUGGGGAAUAUUGGACAAUGGGCGCAAGCCUGAUCCAGCCAUGCCGCGUGAGUGAUGAAGGUCUUAGGAUUGUAAAGCUCUUUCAACGGUGAAGAUAAUGACGGUAGCCGUAGAAGAAGCCCCGGCUAACUUCGUGCCAGCCGCCGCGUAA
Molecule: ribosomal RNA, 448 nt
Filed under: uncultured bacterium
Lineage: Bacteria
Description: partial 16S ribosomal RNA
Rfam family: Bacterial small subunit ribosomal RNA
Source: RNAcentral